RNAcentral lists this non-coding RNA (24 nucleotides) under Arabidopsis thaliana (thale cress). Lineage: Eukaryota; Viridiplantae; Streptophyta; Magnoliopsida; Brassicales; Brassicaceae. The record is from RNAcentral.
UUGGGCACUAUCACAAAUUCCUAC